AUCAAAAAAUAAAAUAAAAAAGAAGAAAACAGCAAAGAGCAAACGUCUUCUUCUUCUUCUUCUUCUUCUUCUUCUCUCUUCCUUGAGCUUGCUUGCUCCUCUCUUGUGUCUUCCUUCGUCACUGUCCGUAUCAACAAUCAAACCCGAAACGUCUCUUCUGUCUGUUAAUUCAGAUUAUGUCUCAAUCUCUCCCUCUCGUCUCCUUGAUGAGCACUUUUCCUCAUUGACAAAAAUCCGAAAUCACGACAGACCCAUUUCAUUUCCAUCUUCUAUUUUUAAUAAAAAUCUCAUCUUUCGUGUCUUCUCAACAGAACCAACAUCCAAAGAAUCGGCAUUUCCUCUCUCAAAGCUGUAAAAACCGAUACUUUUCUCGGUUCAAAUCUCGAGAAUUCUGAGACCCACCACGAGUUUCCUGAACCAAAGUGGCUUUGAGGAUGGAAGCAGAAACGUCUUGGACCACUUACCCUUACAACUACAUGACUACAUACAUCCCUGAAGCUGAAUCAUACUCUGAGCAGAGCGAUGAUGAUGAAGAGACCAAACUCCAAACCUUUGCAAUGGAUUCUCUUCUCCCCAACGAUCUACUAGAAAGAAUCCUCUCCUUUCUCCCCAUUGCUAGCAUCUUCAGAGCUGGCACGGUCUGCAAAAGAUGGAACGAGAUUGUCUCUUCUCAAAGAUUCUUAUGGAACUUCUCCAACAACAACAACAACAACUCGGUUUCUCAGGGGCCUUGGUACUUCAUGUUCACCACCACUGAUGAUCCAUCCGGUUAUGCUUAUGACCCGGUUAUCAAGAAAUGGUACAGCUUUGAUCUCCCUUGCAUUGAAACUUCGAAUUGGUUUAUUGCUUCCUCUUGUGGAUUGGUUUGUUUCAUGGAUAAUGACUGUAGAAGCAAGAUCUAUGUCUCAAACCCUAUCACCAAGCAAUGGAGAAGACUUAUCGAACCACCGGGUCAUAAGGCUACUGAUUAUACAGCAUUGUCUACCUCCAUGAACAGAGCAAAACAGAGUUACUCUGUUUCUAUAGUGAAGUCAAAGCAAGUUGCUGGAGAUUUCUUCCAAUGGGAUCUCUCUAUUCAUCUCUACAGCUCCGAAACAAUGACGUGGACAACAAGUGUAACCGAUGUCUUAACCGGGUGGAGAGGAGGAGACGAGAGUGUGAUCUGCAACAAUGUUCUUUACUUCUUGAUUUACACCACAGGAGGCAACUCUGAUCAUCGCCACGGCUUGAUUGCUUCUAACUUAUCGUCGUCCACAUCAUCCUUGAUGAGGAGUUUCAUUCCAAUGCCGUGUGCUUUAACCUGUGGGAGGCUGAUGAAUCUCAAGGAGAGGCUUGUGGUCGUUGGAGGGAUAGGGAAGCAUGAUAGGCCAGAGAUUAUCAAAGGGAUUGGGAUAUGGUGUUUGAAAGGAGGGAGAGAGUGGCAAGAGAUGGCGAGAAUGCCUCAGAGAUUCUUCCAAGGGUUUGGGGAGUUGGAUGAUGUUUUCGCGAGUAGUGGCAGUGAUGAUUUGGUUUAUAUACAGAGCUAUGGAUCUCCUGCGCUUUUGAUGUUUGAUAUGAAGUUAAAGUGUUGGAAAUGGUCUCAGAAGUGUCCUGUCUCUAAGAAGUUCCCUCUCCAGCUCUUUACUGGGUUUUGCUUUGAACCAAGACUUGAGAUCACUCCAUAGCUCUGAAGGAGAAGAAGAUGAUGAUUAUGUUUUUUAAAUGAUUGAGAAAAUAUAUUCAGGAAUAUUGUUGUUAUUAUUACCAUAUAUUUUGAGUAAAAAUAGAAUAAACCUUUUUAACAGUGUGGCCCACAAUAUCUGAUAGUUUUUGAAACUGGGGGUUGUCUGGUUGCUGUUCCUGGACCUGGAGGGUAAAUAAUUGUUUCCAUAAUAUAUGUAUCUACUAUAGAUAGCCGUAUGUUUGUAAUGUGUUAUCUAUUAUAGAUAGCUGUUUGUUUUGUAC
This is an RNA transcript of Brassica napus (rape), 1944 nucleotides long. It is a transcript of the gene named F-box/kelch-repeat protein At3g61590-like, with no coding region annotated. The record is from RefSeq and is a predicted model, not a curated record. NCBI's taxonomy places the organism in Eukaryota, Viridiplantae, Streptophyta, Magnoliopsida, Brassicales, Brassicaceae. The transcript has 3 exons.